Molecule: transfer RNA, 72 nt
Filed under: Loxodonta africana (African savanna elephant)
Lineage: Eukaryota; Metazoa; Chordata; Mammalia; Proboscidea; Elephantidae
Rfam family: tRNA
About the family: Transfer RNA (tRNA) molecules are approximately 80 nucleotides in length. Their secondary structure includes four short double-helical elements and three loops (D, anti-codon, and T loops). Further hydrogen bonds mediate the characteristic L-shaped molecular structure. tRNAs have two regions of fundamental functional importance: the anti-codon, which is responsible for specific mRNA codon recognition, and the 3' end, to which the tRNAs corresponding amino acid is attached (by aminoacyl-tRNA synthetases). tRNAs cope with the degeneracy of the genetic code in two manners: having more than one tRNA (with a specific anti-codon) for a particular amino acid; and 'wobble' base-pairing, i.e. permitting non-standard base-pairing at the 3rd anti-codon position.
Source: Rfam by way of RNAcentral
GCCUUGGUGGCUCAGUGGUUAAGUGCUCAGCUGCUAACUGAAAGGUCAGUGGUUUGAACCCACUCUUCGGGA